RNAcentral lists this unclassified non-coding RNA (255 nucleotides) under Ascomycota sp. RNAcentral's name for it is "partial contains small subunit ribosomal RNA, internal transcribed spacer 1, and 5.8S ribosomal RNA". The stretch from base 1 to 47 matches the Rfam family "Eukaryotic small subunit ribosomal RNA", at positions 1785 to 1831 of the family's 1831-position model. Lineage: Eukaryota; Fungi; Ascomycota. The record is from RNAcentral.
AAAGUCGUAACAAGGUUUCCGUAGGUGAACCUGCGGAAGGAUCAUUAAACAUCAUCGGGGAGAUGGCUCCAGCUGGUAGGGCUUCGGCCCCGCCUUCUGCCCUUCUCUUUCUGAUUAUACCCAUGUCUUUUGCGUACUAUUUGUUUCCUUGGUAGGCUUGCCUGCCGAUAGGACAUCAUUAAACCUUUUGUAAUUGCAGUCAGCGUCAGAAAAACAUAAUAAUUACAACUUUCAACAACGGAUCUCUUGGUUCUG